RNAcentral lists this long non-coding RNA (1026 nucleotides) under Sarcophilus harrisii (Tasmanian devil). RNAcentral describes it as "lncRNA (ENSSHAG00000028469.1)". The record is from RNAcentral. Lineage: Eukaryota; Metazoa; Chordata; Mammalia; Dasyuromorphia; Dasyuridae.
AUGAUCAGCCUGGAAGAACUAUCUCAAGUUACUUGGAGGGGUAAUAGUCAUGUGACUACUACUUCAAGUGACAUCCCAACAACUACUACUGAUUUUUCUCUGACUACUUCUACCAGAAGUCAUACUAUAUUUACUACUUCACUUGCUACUAGUAUUGCUGGUGUAUUUACUACUAGUGCACCAGAUAUUUUCCCGACAAGUAUUUCAUCUACCACUCAUUACCCAACAGAAAUAACUUCAAACACCAUGGAUAUUAGUACUAUGUCUGCUCCUCCUAUUACUACUGCUGCUUUUAGUACUAAUACUGCUAUAAUUCCAAGCACUUUCCCAACAAGUAUUUCAUUCCCCACUGAUGCAAUUACUCAUAAUAUUACAGAUACAAUUCUAAGUACCACUACUAGUGGUACUAGUGCUGCUCCCCCUUCUUCUAAUCCAGUUACCAUGAGCAAUACUAGUAUUAGUACUGAUAUUGCUGGUGAUAUUACUAGUAGUACUCCAAGUUCCUUUCAAACAAAUGUUUCAUCCACCACUGAUGCAAUUACUCAUUACACUACAGACACAAUUCUAAGUACCACUACUAGUGGAACUAGUGCUGCUCUCCCUCCUAAUCCAGUCACCAUGAGCAAUAGUAGUAUUAGUACUGCUAGUACUAAUGGUAUUAGCACUAAUAGUACUACUGCUCCAAGUACUUUUCCAAUGAAUAUUUCAUCCACCACUGAUGCAAAUACUCAUUUCACUACAGACACAAUUCUAAGCACCACUACCAGUGGUACUAGUGCUGUUCCCCCUCCUAGUCCAGUUACCAUGAGCAAUAGUAGUAUUAGUACUGCUAGUACUAAUGGUACUAGCACUAAUAGUACUACUGCUCCAAGUACUUUUCCAAUGAAUAUUUCAUCCACCACUGAUGCAAAUACUCAUUUCACUACAGACACAAUUCUAAGCACCACUACUAGUGGUACUAGUGCUGUUCCCCCUCCUAGUCCAGUUACCAUGAGCAAUAGUAGUAUUAGUACUACUGAUGUAUAG